Molecule: ribosomal RNA, 745 nt
Filed under: Vibrio sp. 03_296
Lineage: Bacteria; Pseudomonadati; Pseudomonadota; Gammaproteobacteria; Vibrionales; Vibrionaceae
Description: bacterial SSU rRNA
Rfam family: Bacterial small subunit ribosomal RNA
Source: RNAcentral
AAACGAUGUCUACUUGGAGGUUGUGGCCUUGAGCCGUGGCUUUCGGAGCUAACGCGUUAAGUAGACCGCCUGGGGAGUACGGUCGCAAGAUUAAAACUCAAAUGAAUUGACGGGGGCCCGCACAAGCGGUGGAGCAUGUGGUUUAAUUCGAUGCAACGCGAAGAACCUUACCUACUCUUGACAUCCAGAGAAUCUAGCGGAGACGCUGGAGUGCCUUCGGGAACUCUGAGACAGGUGCUGCAUGGCUGUCGUCAGCUCGUGUUGUGAAAUGUUGGGUUAAGUCCCGCAACGAGCGCAACCCUUAUCCUUAGUUUGCCAGCGAGUAAUGUCGGGAACUCCAGGGAGACUGCCGGUGAUAAACCGGAGGAAGGUGGGGACGASCGUCAAGUCAUCAUGGCCCUUACGAGUAGGGCUACACACGUGCUACAAUGGCGCAUACAGAGGGCKGCCAACUUGCGAAAGUGAGCGAAUCCCAAAAAGUGCGUCGUAGUCCGGAUUGGAGUCUGCAACUCGACUCCAUGAAGUCGGAAUCGCUAGUAAUCGUGGAUCAGAAUGCCACGGUGAAUACGUUCCCCGGGCCUUGUACACACCGCCCCGUCACACCAUGGGAGUGGGCUGCAAAAGAAGUGGGUAGUUUUAACCUUCGGGAGGACGCUCACCACUUUGUGGUUACAUGACUGGGGUGAAGUCGUAACAAGGUAGCGCUAGGGGAACCUGGCGCUGGAUCACCUCCUUAUACGAUGAU